AUGCAGGCGGAGCGACGGCGUCAAGCUGCUUGGCCCGGGCACGCGCUCAUGGCGGCCGAUGCUCCAGGUGUCGGACUUCAAGGGUGGCACACCGGAGGUGAUCGAGAUGAGCUACGUCGUGCUGGUGCUGGUGCCGCCCGCGACAAGACUUGGGGCGCCCACGAGACAGUGAUCGUCGAGGUGGUCGCCGACCAGGUGGCCGUGGCGCUCUCGCACGCGUCGCUGCUCGAGGAGUCGCAGGCCAUGCGCGACCGGCUCGUCGAGCAGAACUUCGAGCUGCUGCAGGCACGGCGGGACAGGCUCAUGGCGAAUGAGGCCCGGGACGCGUUCCAGCGCAUCAUGAGCCAGGGAAUGCGCCGCCGUUCCACUCCAUCCUCGGCCUCGUCUCUGUGGUGCAGGAGGACAACCUGA
Molecule: ribosomal RNA, 411 nt
Filed under: Triticum aestivum (bread wheat)
Lineage: Eukaryota; Viridiplantae; Streptophyta; Magnoliopsida; Poales; Poaceae
Description: partial small subunit ribosomal RNA
Source: RNAcentral